AGUAGAGAAAUAAAAAUCAAAUAGCUGAAAUUGGUCCAGAAGUGACACAGAUGAUAAAAUUAGUAGUCAAGAACUUCGAAGCCAUGAUUAAAACUGUAGUCUGUGUUCAAGAAGCUAGAAGAACGACCGAACACGUUACAUCCUAGCAUAGAAAGAACCGAAAUCAAACUCGAGGUAAAAACUGUCAUGUCUGAGAUGGGAAUCUCCCGGGUCAGACUAAGAAGAUGUUGUCCACUUCAGAGGAAAGAACUAGUGAGAUCAAAGACUUUAGCAAUAGAAAUGCCCAAAGUAAACCACACUAAGCGAGAAGACUGAAAAGGUUGGAACAGAGCACCAGUCAACAGGGGGAUAACUUCAAGCAGCCUAAUAAUAUGUGUAAAUGCAAGUUCCCGAAAAAGAGAGGAGAGGUGGAGAGGGAAAUUUGAAGGACAUCAGAAAUUGUAUCUACAUGGCUGCUUCUGAAUUUCCUGUGGAAAUGCAAAGGACCCGUAAGAACCAAAACAACCUCAAAGAAGAAAAACAGAGUUGGAGGACGCGGGAUAAGGCUACAGUAUUUAGGACCACGUGAUAUUGUCAAGAUGAAGAGAUCCAGUUAUGCAAAGCAGUCCAGAAAUAGGUCCGCACCUAUAUGACUGACUUUUUACAAACGUGCAGAGGCAGUUCGGGGGAAAUUCUCCACAGGACCCAUCUCUCUGGGUUCUCAGGCUGGAUUUCACGACCCCCGUCCAGCUACACAGGAAGCGGGCAGGAUUCAGAGCUUUCUAGGCUCCCUCGAUACGGCAACCCACCACGACUUCUUACACCGUCAUUCCUAUCGGAUCAGCAGCUUCUCGGGAGCUGGGGGUUGGAAUCCCCUCGUGCAUCGGAAGGAGACGGAACCGGUCCCGGUGGCAGAGUCACUGUGGUGUGGUGCCGUCUGUCAAGAGGGCAGCUGCAGAGGCCGCAGCAGCCUCCCCUGGUUCACCUUUACAAGAAGCGGCAGGCUGUGUACAGGGAGAUCCCUUCGCCUCACCCGUAGCAACCCCCGAAGUGCUGUGUUAGCGGCUCAGUCCGUGCUCUGCAGUGAAAGCCUGGUGCCCGGGGCCCAGACCUCGCCAGCUGCCAGGUGUAUUCUCCGAGGCCCCGAGGUGCAGAACUCCUCACUAGGCAGAGGUUCCAGAAGAAGUCCCAAAGAGAGCUCAUUUUCCAUGGCCGACGGCCAGACCUGCAGCCUCACCGAGUGAUCACAGAACAGCAGGGCAGGUGCCUCAGUAACUCACGGGGACAUCAGCUGGUGGCCAAGGGGAAGCGCCCUGGCCGCAGCCUCCGGGUCCCCCUCCUGCUCUUGGCCACAUCUCGGGAAGAGCCGCGUCCGGAAUAAAGGACUGGGGAAGCCCGGGUUUACAGCCACCCCCAAGGAUACGGUAAAGAACCUUCUCAAGGCCCACCCUUAAAUCCAGCGGCCCUACAACACCUCCCAGAACGCCUCCUCCUCCUCCUGCCUCCUUACUCGUGCCCAGAAAUAACUUCAUUUUAUGGAAAAGAGCGUUUUCCAGAUAAGUGAAUUUUCCAGAUGAGAAAAGUUCAUCUCUUUAAGCACUUGGAAUUUUAUUAUUUUAACCAGUAGGGAGGGAAGUCUUCCCAAAUGACCCACACAUGUUCUCUCUCACGCAGCUCUGUAACUGGCUGGCCUACGGGGACUCGCCGUGAGCAGCAGGGACCAGGCUGUAUGAGGCCUCUGGGGCGUCGAGACCCACGGCCUCAGACGGACAUGCCUUGAGAGUCGUAGCCGGCCUUGGAAAGGAAGCACACUGUGACACACGGCACACUGGGGGACCCUUGAGGACCUGACGUGCGGGGAAGUAAAGCAGUCACAAGACAAGUUGCGAGUCCACUGAUAGGAGGCGCCUGGAGUCGUCAGAUCCAGAGGGACAAAGUAGAAAGGCGUCCAUCGGGGUGCUGGGAGAGGAAAGCGGCUGUGCGAUGCAGGGCCUUGAGAAGCUUCUUGACUUCUGCUGUCCCUCAGUUUCCUCAUCUGUGAAAUGGGGACCCUAAGAACACACGGGUUGUUCACACUUGGAAACCAAGCAGAACAGCGUGUUUUCACCGUGUCAGCUAAGAGGCAGCGACUUGGAGAAUCCCCACUUUCCAUACAGGGUAAACGGGGCUCAGAGGGGCUCAGCGCCUUACCCGACUCAUGCAAGUUGCCUUGACUCCAUGGUCCACCUCCCACCUCCUGUCCUGUCAUAAGAAAGUUCUCAUUAGAAGAAAGUGUUUCCUACGAGGGCGCUAAUUCCACGCCACCCCCUUUUGUCAGCCCCUGGCCGAGGGCAGGGCACCGAGCCAUGUUCUAGACUGACACUGUCCUACAGCCGCUUCCCCGUGUGAAGACAGGUUCGCGGCCCCAUGGCCAACGGAACGCUAACUCCCCCUUGUCACAUGGGUUUCUCCUGUUUGCCAAAAGUCCAAGCUGCCCCCAAGUCCGGCCUCCACCUCAAGCCUGCCGUCCCUCCUCCGACCGGGGCACCAGCCAGGGGCACUCUUGGCAGGGACUUGAGGUCUCAGGGCCGCGGACGGCAGAGGGUGCGUGAACAAAGCCACCCCCCUCCAAGUACGCUCGCUCCCUUGGCCAGAACACAGGGCCACCAAGCCACACAUGUGCCACCACUUCAGAAACACCUUAGAAACAUCCAGAGCCUAGCCAGGCCUAC
Molecule: long non-coding RNA, 2690 nt
Organism: Mustela erminea (ermine)
Lineage: Eukaryota; Metazoa; Chordata; Mammalia; Carnivora; Mustelidae
Exons: 3
Source: RefSeq, a predicted model, not a curated record